Non-coding RNA from Punica granatum (pomegranate), 584 nucleotides. Lineage: Eukaryota; Viridiplantae; Streptophyta; Magnoliopsida; Myrtales; Lythraceae. The record is from RefSeq and is a predicted model, not a curated record.
UUUCAUCUCAUCUAUUCUUUCUUUCUUUCUUUUUAUCUUUUCCACUCUCUGCUCUGUUUUGAGCUGUAAGAACCGAAGAAGAAACAGAGCAACAGGGAGAGAGAGAGAGACGAGUGAGUGAAUGCUAGAGGAAGCAGAAAGAGAGAAUGGUUAGGGAGGGAGAGAGCUACCCAGAUAGGAAUCGUUACACAAGGAAGAGCUUAACCCUGCACUACGGGUAUUGAUUGAUUUCAGGAGUUGGUGAGAUCGAAAGCAAGCAUCUUGAAGGCUCAAUUCAGUGGACCAUACGUUGAGUGUUCUAUGAGCUAGGAGUUAGACUAGCAGCACAGGAGAACUCUUUUGAUAUUGGGGAUCAGCUCGGAGGACUAGGUAGAGACCAUAGUUAUUUGAUAGGUAUUCUUUUGUAUAAAAUGUAUUGAAUAGGUUACGAGCUAAAAAUUUUGUUUUGUUUAAUUUAGUAAUGUGGUUAAGAAAAGAAAAUUACUCUCUUUUGAGAUUAUAUUCAUAUUAGAGCUUGCUGGAUUGGUUUUAUAUUUUUGGGAGUCUAUGGAAAGCUAGUUUUAAUAUCGAGGAAAUAUAAGGGA